This 449-nucleotide ribosomal RNA is filed under the name uncultured bacterium. Its description in RNAcentral is "bacterial SSU rRNA". It matches the Rfam family "Bacterial small subunit ribosomal RNA", at positions 355 to 796 of the family's 1533-position model. The record is from RNAcentral.
UGGGGAAUAUUGGACAAUGGGGGCAACCCUGAUCCAGCAAUGCCGCGUGUGUGAAGAAGGCCUUCGGGUUGUAAAGCACUUUAGUUUGGGAGGAAGGUGAGUAGUUUAAGAGAUGAAUCACUUGACUGUACCGAAAGAAUAAGCACCGGCUAACUCUGUGCCAGCAGCCGCGGUAAUACAGAGGGUGCGAGCGUUAAUCGGAGUUACUGGGCGUAAAGGGCGCGUAGGCGGUUAGUUAAGAUUGUUGUGAAAUCCCUGGGCUUAACCUAGGAACUGCAACGAAGACUGGCGAGCUAGAGUACUGUAGAGGGUAGUGGAAUUUCCGGUGUAGCGGUGAAAUGCGUAGAGAUCGGAAGGAACACCAGUGGCGAAGGCGGCUACCUGGACAAAUACUGACGCUGAGGCGCGAGAGCGUGGGGAGCAAACAGGAUUAGAUACCCCCGUAGUCC